AUGGCUCAGGAUGAACGCUGGCGGCGUGCCUAAUACAUGCAAGUCGAACGAAACUUCUUUAUCACCGAGUGCUUGCACUCACCGAUAAAGAGUUGAGUGGCGAACGGGUGAGUAACACGUGGGCAACCUGCCCGAGAGAGGGGGAUAACACUUGGAAACAGGUGCUAAUACCGCAUAACCAUGAAUACCGCAUGGUAUUUAUGUGAAAGGUGGUUUCGGCUACCGCUUUCGGAUGGGCCCGCGGCGCAUUAGCUAGUUGGUGGGGUAAAGGCUUACCAAGGCAAUGAUGCGUAGCCGAACUGGGAGGUUGAUCGGCCACAUUGGGACUGAGACACGGCCCAAACUCCUACGGGAGGCAGCAGUAGGGAAUCUUCCACAAUGGGCGAAAGCCUGAUGGAGCAACGCCGCGUGGGUGAAGAAGGUCUUCGGAUCGUAAAACCCUGUUGUCAGAGAAGAAAGUGCAUGAGAGUAACUGUUCAUGUUUCGACGGUAUCUGACCAGAAAGCCACGGCUAACUACGUGCCAGCAGCCGCGGUAAUACGUAGGUGGCAAGCGUUAUCCGGAUUUAUUGGGCGUAAAGGGAACGCAGGCGGUCUUUUAAGUCUGAUGUGAAAGCCUUCGGCUUAACCGGAGUAGUGCAUUGGAAACUGGGAGACUCGAGUGCAGAAGAGGAGAGUGGAACUCCAUGUGUAGCGGUGAAAUGCGUAGAUAUAUGGAAGAACACCAGUGGCGAAAGCGGCUCUCUGGUCUGUAACUGACGCUGAGGCUCGAAAGCGUGGGUAGCAAACAGGAUUAGAUACCCUGGUAGUCCACGCCGUAAACGAUGAAUGCUAAGUGUUGGAGGGUUUCCGCCCUUCAGUGCUGCAGUUAACACAAUAAGCAUUCCGCCUGGGGAGUACGACCGCAAGGUUGCAACUCAAAUGAAUUGACGGA
This 933-nucleotide ribosomal RNA is filed under the name uncultured Bacillota bacterium. RNAcentral's name for it is "bacterial SSU rRNA". It matches the Rfam family "Bacterial small subunit ribosomal RNA", at positions 19 to 917 of the family's 1533-position model. The record is from RNAcentral. Lineage: Bacteria; Bacillati; Bacillota.